AUCACUUGGGUAAUUGUGGUAAAAUGCAGAUUCUGAUUCAGCUGGCCUGGGGUACAGCCUGAGAUUCUGCUUUUCUAACAAGCUCCCAGGUGAUGCCAA
RNAcentral lists this microRNA precursor (99 nucleotides) under Loxodonta africana (African savanna elephant). Its description in RNAcentral is "mir-544 microRNA precursor family". It matches the Rfam family "mir-544 microRNA precursor family". Lineage: Eukaryota; Metazoa; Chordata; Mammalia; Proboscidea; Elephantidae. The record is from Rfam by way of RNAcentral.